RNAcentral lists this ribosomal RNA (487 nucleotides) under uncultured bacterium. RNAcentral describes it as "bacterial SSU rRNA". It matches the Rfam family "Bacterial small subunit ribosomal RNA", at positions 775 to 1260 of the family's 1533-position model. The record is from RNAcentral.
AGUCAAUAGAUACCCAGGUAGUCCAUGCCGUAAACGAUGAUUGCUAGGUGUGGGGGGGUCUGACCCCUUCCGUGCCGGAGUUAAACACAAUAAGCAAUCCACCUGGGGAGUACGGCCGCAAGGUUGAAACUCAAAGGAAUUGACGGGGGCCCGCACAAGCAGUGGAGUAUGUGGUUUAAAUUCGAAGCAACGCGAAGAACCUUACCAGGUCUUGACAUCCACCGAAUCCUGUAGAGAUACGGGAGUGCCCUUCGGGGAACGGUGAGACAGGUGGUGCAUGGUUGUCGUCAGCUCGUGUCGUGAGAUGUUGGGUUAAGUCCCGCAACGAGCGCAACCCUUGUGAAUAGUUGCUACGAAAGAGCACUCUAUUCAGACCGCCGUUGACAAAACGGAGGAAGGUGGGGAUGACGUCAAAUCAUCAUGCCCCUUAUGACCUGGGCUACACACGUACUACAAUGGCCGUUAACAGAGGGAUGCAAUGCCGCGA